Molecule: ribosomal RNA, 704 nt
Filed under: uncultured bacterium
Lineage: Bacteria
Description: bacterial SSU rRNA
Rfam family: Bacterial small subunit ribosomal RNA
Source: RNAcentral
GGACAACCUUCCGAAAGGGAGGCUAAUCCCGCGUAUAUCGGUUUCGGGCAUCCGAGAUCGAGGAAAGAUUCAUCGGAAGAGGAUGGGCAUGCGGCGCAUUAGCUAGACGGCGGGGUAACGGCCCACCGUGGCGACGAUGCGUAGGGGUUCUGAGAGGAAGGUCCCCCACACUGGUACUGAGACACGGACCAGACUCCUACGGGAGGCAGCAGUGAGGAAUAUUGGUCAAUGGGAGAGAUCCUGAACCAGCCAAGCCGCGUGAGGGAAGACGGCCCUAUGGGUUGUAAACCUCUUUUGUCGGAGAACAAAACCCGGGACGUGUCCCGGACUGCGUGUAUCCGAAGAAAAAGCAUCGGCUAACUCCGUGCCAGCAGCCGCGGUAAUACGGAGGAUGCGAGCGUUAUCCGGAUUUAUUGGGUUUAAAGGGUGCGUAGGCGGUCCGUUAAGUCAGCGGUAAAAUUGCGGGGCUCAACCCCGUCGAGCCGUUGAAACUGGCAGACUUGAGUUGGCGAGAAGUACGCGGAAUGCGCGGUGUAGCGGUGAAAUGCAUAGAUAUCGCGCAGAACUCCGAUUGCGAAGGCAGCGUACCGGCGCCAGACUGACGCUGAGGCACGAAAGCGUGGGGAUCGAACAGGAUUAGAUACCCUGGUAGUCCACGCAGUAAACGAUGAAUGCUGGUUGUCCGGGUCGAAUGAGAUCUGGGC